GGAAUUCAGUAGUGAUUCAGGCCUAACACAUGCAAGUCGAGCGGUAGAGAGAAGCUUGCUUCUCUUGAAAAAGGCGGACGGGUGAGUAAUGCCUAGGAAUCUGCCUGGUAGUGGGGGAUAACGUUCGGAAACGGACGCUAAUACCGCAUACGUCCUACGGGAGAAAGCAGGGGACCUUCGGGCCUUGCGCUAUCAGAUGAGCCUAGGUCGGAUUAGCUAGUUGGUGAGGUAAUGGCUCACCAAGGCUACGAUCCGUAACUGGUCUGAGAGGAUGAUCAGUCACACUGGAAGGGAGACACGGUCCAGACUCCUACGGGAGGCAGCAGUGGGGAAUAUUGGACAAUGGGCGAAAG
This 353-nucleotide ribosomal RNA is filed under the name uncultured bacterium. RNAcentral's name for it is "bacterial SSU rRNA". It matches the Rfam family "Bacterial small subunit ribosomal RNA", at positions 43 to 381 of the family's 1533-position model. The record is from RNAcentral.